UCCUACGGGGGGCAGCAGUGGGGAAUUUUGGACAAUGGGGGCAACCCUGAUCCAGCCAUUCCGCGUGAGUGAAGAAGGCCUUCGGGUUGUAAAGCUCUUUCGGCAGGAACGAAACGGUUUGGGUUAAUACCCUGAGCUAAUGACGGUACCUGAAGAAGAAGCACCGGCUAACUACGUGCCAGCAGCCGCGGUAAUACGUGGGGUGCGAGCGUUAAUCGGAAUUACUGGGCGUAAAGCGUGCGCAGGCGGUUUUGUAAGACAGAUGUGAAAUCCCCGGGCUUAACCUGGGAACUGCGUUUGUGACUGCAAGACUUGAGUGCGGCAGAGGGGGGUGGAAUUCCACGUGUAGCAGUGAAAUGCGUAGAGAUGUGGAGGAACACCGAUGGCGAAGGCAGCCCCCUGGGUCGACACUGACGCUCAUGCACGAAAGCGUGGGUAGCAAACAGGAUUAGAUACCCCGGUAGUCCC
This 468-nucleotide ribosomal RNA is filed under the name uncultured bacterium. Its description in RNAcentral is "bacterial SSU rRNA". It matches the Rfam family "Bacterial small subunit ribosomal RNA", at positions 337 to 797 of the family's 1533-position model. The record is from RNAcentral.